CGCGGGGUGGAGCAGCUCGGCAGCUCGACGGGCUCAUAACCCGUAGGUCGUAGGUUCAAAUCCUGCCCCCGCUACCA
RNAcentral lists this transfer RNA (77 nucleotides) under Christensenellaceae bacterium. Its description in RNAcentral is "tRNA-Met". It matches the Rfam family "tRNA". From Rfam's summary of the family: Transfer RNA (tRNA) molecules are approximately 80 nucleotides in length. Lineage: Bacteria; Bacillati; Bacillota; Clostridia; Christensenellales; Christensenellaceae. The record is from RNAcentral.